UACGUAGGGUGCGAGCGUUAAUCGGAAUUACUGGGCGUAAAGCGUGCGCAGGCGGUUUUGUAAGCCAGAUGUGAAAGCCCCGGGCUUAACCUGGGAAUGGCAUUUGGGACUGCAAGGCUUGAGUGCGGCAGAGGAGACUGGAAUUCCUGGUGUAGCAGUGAAAUGCGUAGAUAUCAGGAGGAAUACCGAUGGCGAAGGCAGGUCUCUGGGCCGUAACUGACGCUGAGGAGCGAAAGCGUGGGGAGCGAACAGG
RNAcentral lists this ribosomal RNA (253 nucleotides) under uncultured bacterium. RNAcentral's name for it is "partial 16S ribosomal RNA". It matches the Rfam family "Bacterial small subunit ribosomal RNA", at positions 524 to 776 of the family's 1533-position model. The record is from RNAcentral.